This 1880-nucleotide long non-coding RNA is filed under the name Canis lupus familiaris (dog). Its description in RNAcentral is "lncRNA (ENSCAFG00000055466.1)". Lineage: Eukaryota; Metazoa; Chordata; Mammalia; Carnivora; Canidae. The record is from RNAcentral.
AAAGUCCAGAAGAAGGAAAGAGCAAGAAGGUGAGGAAAAUAACUGUUGCCAGAAUAAAAAUUAACUGAAGCUUGAGAAGAGUGAUCAUAAGACCAGAGGGAGGUUCCCUGGAGAAAAGUGUGGUAGCUUCAGUUUGGUUUUUCAGUAUUUUCAACUGACAAUCAGUAGUUAAUUUUUUUUUCCUAUUAAAUUUGUUCACAGGGCCAUUUUACAUAAAUGUGGCACAUAAUUUUUUCUGAGCUGUGGUUCUUAAAUUUAAAGUAAAUGGAAGAUGGUUAAGCAUGGUAAUGUUUUUAACCAUCCUGACUGCUCUACUGGCACUAGUAUCAGAAGUGUCCGCAGAUGCCACUUAUAGCAACUAAAUAUUUCCAUGGUGGUAAAGAAAUGUCAGUAAAAUCUAUGUACUUUAAGAACAUCAAAUUCUUAUUAUACUUAUCAUGUGUGCAGGCGGAGUACAUAAUAAACUAGUCCAUAGCAGCUGUAAAUUUCUGAGGAUUUAUCUAACCACAAAUACAUUGAAAUGGGGAAAUAGGCUAUAUUAAACCAUGCAAGAUGCUGCUGGAGCUUUGCCCUUUCUGCAACAUCCUGUAAUUAAUUUAUCAUGACAGGUCUGGCAAACUGAAACACCCAAUACACUUGCGACAGUCUGUUACACUGUAGUUGUUGGAGACCCUGCAGUCACAUAAAGUGAAGGUAGAUUUUUCUUUCAAACAUGAAGAUAGUACUUGUAUUUAGAAUGCCUUGUAGCCACGGACAGACUUGUCACUUUUGAAUUUCAAAAAAGAACAUCUAGAAUAUAGAACAGAUCUUGGGCUGAGAUAAGGUAUUUAGUCUGUCCUCUGCACUUUGUGGUCUUUUCCUGAAGAGGGAAGGCCCUGCGUAGGAGACAUGCAGUCGGGGCCACCAUUCCCAUGCAUACCUGCUGCUGACCUGAUCGGUUUCUCUCCUGGGACUUUUGAAGGUCACUUCCCUCCUGGUAGUCUCUCAGACACAUCUUCUUCCUGGAAGGAAGAUUCACAAGACCACCUCUUCCAUCCAGGUGUCCUCCUCUUCUGGAAGCCCCAGUGCUGCCAUUUUGUAAACUUAGAGCACAGUUAAAUUCAGAAUUUAUCCCUACUCCAACCCCCUCCAGUCCAGAGAAAGAAAAUAAUGUAAUAAUGCGGUGGAUUUUUUUUUUUUUUUUUUUUUUUUGGCCAAAAUAGAUUUUCUUCUAAAACUGAGAUCUGGGGUAACUGGCUGGGGACUGGUUAGUCAGUAGAGCAUGUGACUCUGGAUUUCAGGGUUGUGAGUUUGAGGCCCAUGUUGAGUGUAGAGUUUACUUUAAAAAAUAAUAAACUCUUAAACAAUGAGUUCUUUGUCAGUUUGUAUCAAUGUAAAAGAAUGAUCCCCUCUUGAUGUGUCAUCUGAUACAGUGUUACCGUGGUUGAUGCUUAGGGUGGAUCUUAGUAAACAGGCUCCUUGCUAGAGGAGUAGAGAUACCACCCCUAAAAAUGAAAUCUACGUUCAGUCAGUGUCCACAGCUUUGCCCAUGCCCUUUGGAAGGUCAGAGUUCUCAGACCACAAACAAGUGGACCCAAGGGGGAGUCUUCCUUGAAUCUGGAAGUCUCAGUGAGAGGGAAUAGGUCCCAGGUAGUAGAGAGUAAGAGUGUUGCUCAACAGAAACAGGUAAGAAGUCAGGCAAGGAUAGAGGUUCCAGCCCAGUCACCCAAGGCUAACUGUAAACAUUUAUGUUCUUUAUAUUUUCUCCAGUCCUUACUAGUUCUCUUGGUCCUUACUUUAGAAAAUGGAUCCUAUCUCAGAGGACCUGAGAAACCUGUUGCUUCGGCCUAAGUUUAAAAACAAACAAACAAACAAACAAAACAAAACAAAACAAAAAAAAA